UCUCCUCGUCAAGGUGGCGUGGCAGUGUGGAGGAAGGCACCCAAUACGUGUCGCUCCAUUGCCUGAAUAAUGUUGUCUAUAGAGGAGAAGGGGUCUAUUGGGAAGGGAUUUGGUUUGCACCGGGCUGGGGUUUGCUGCGGCGUGGCUUGUCCGUCCGAGCGGUCUCCAUCGCUGCUGGCUGGUUGCUGGUCAGAGGAAGGAGCAUUCUCCAUCUGGCCCAACUUGGUGUGCGCGGCGACGCGGCGUGGCGGCUCUGUACAAUGGGGCAGACACUUUGGGGACGGCUUAGGAAGGUUAGUGGAAGCAGUUUGGGGGCAUUGGGGAUACGGCGCGCCAUUGUCGCUGUCAUUGGAGGAGGUACACCGUUGUGAGUGGUGCUGCAGUCAGAGAGGAGCGCAUCUCCAUUCGUCACUUCCAUUGGAGGAGCCCGGCCGCCACUUGCUAUCGCCACCUGCUGCUUGUGUGCAGUGCUAACCACGACUGGUUCAUGUACCUGCCGAUGGAGCAGGCUUAGUGGUGUCACUUUGAAGCUUAGUUAUGUUGUGGCAGCCAUUUUCGGCGACAUGAUUUGGUUCAGGGCCGCGCUUCUUCGGCUUCGCUCCGUGGCUAUCUUCCCUAUCUCCUUCUGGUGGAUCUGCUCAUAUCAAUUUUGUUGAAACACUCGUGAGCAGAUGUUUAGGCCAUCAAUGUCAACCAUUAUAUCGUAGAAUUUGAAGGGUGGCGCUUGCUGCAUCAACUGACAUUGUUGACAUCAUAAAAAAAGAUGCUUGAACUAAAAGUAACUUCAACAGUUGUUGCAGUUGAAUAGGAGCAUGGGGGAAUAUGAUGUGACAUGAUGGGCGCACAAAAUCAACCAACCGGUCGAUAUCUGCUACCAUGCCCUUGCUCAGGCUAAAGCCUCAUUGGAAGGGAACACCGACUGAACAAAAUAACUAGUCGCUGACAUUGACAAUCUUAUAUGCCCUUUGCUGAUAAAGAUUCUUUGUAGAAUAUAUUUUGCCCUCAAAAAGUCAGGAUCAUUUAUGUUUGUUUGCUACCUGGUAUUCUUUGUCUUCAUUGAUGGUGGGCACCUGAAUCAGCAAAUACAUAAACUAAGCAUAUAUGCCUAUUUAUAUUGCCUUGUGAAUCUUACCAUACUAUUGAAUUAUGGUGGUGUAAUGUCCAAACAACGAACAGGUUCACAUUUAUCAGUUUUAUGAAACCAAUCCCCAUCACCCAUCCAUUGUUAAUGGCCAACGACAAAUAUUUUGUCCUGACAUGACCAUAUAUACAUAAUUUUCUAAAAAUAUUAGUCCUAUAAUAAUCAAAAGUACACACAGAUAGAAUGCACACAAGGCCAUGAAUAGAUGUUGAAAGCACAAUAUUUUAUACAUAAGGCUCUAACUAUUUAAUAUGAAAAGUAUAUGGUCUGAGUCGCAUCCUUCUAGCGAUGCAAAUUACCCAAACAAAAUUGUAUUUAAGAAGUUAUUGUUCAGUCCUAUAUUCUCACUUAAUUAAUUAAGAGUGAUAACACAGUGUAUUUUCUACAAUAGCUCUUAUCCCCUUCUCUUAUUUGUAAAACUGUAAUAAUUACAAAAGUACCCUGGCUAACCGAUCACAAUUCUACACAAAUAGGUGAAUACAUAAGAUGUUCAUAUCAGGGAAUAAACCCAAGGGAAAAGAUAGGUAAGAAUUAGGGCCCAGCAAAAGAAACAAAUCGUCUCACAUAUAAUUAGAGCCAAGCCAAAGUAACAAUAGACCCCUCAAAGAUAAAAUAUUGAACAACAGUUUAUCAGCGAUAUCAAGAAGACGGAAUCCAAGGAUGCAUCUAUGGUCUCCAUCUCACUAC
Long non-coding RNA from Triticum aestivum (bread wheat), 1828 nucleotides. RefSeq lists it as uncharacterized. The record is from RefSeq and is a predicted model, not a curated record. The transcript is spliced from 4 exons. NCBI's taxonomy places the organism in Eukaryota, Viridiplantae, Streptophyta, Magnoliopsida, Poales, Poaceae.